GCUACCCUCCCCCAGCUGGCCUUUGCCGGGCGACCCCAGGGGAACCGCGUUGAUGCUGCCUUCGGAUCCUCCGGCGAAGACUUCCACCGGAUGCCCCGGGUGGGCCGGUUGGGAUCAGACUGGACCACCCCGGACCGUGCUGUUCUUGGGGCACACAGAUGAGACGCACGAGAGGGAGAAACAGCUCAAUAGAUACCGCUGACCUUCAUUUGUGGAAUCCUCAGUCAUCGACACACAAGACAGACGGAGUCUCGCUCUGGGCGGGGCGGGGCGAGGCGAGGCGAGGCACAGCGCAUCGCUUUGGAAGCCGCGGCAACGCCUUUCAAAGCCCCAUUCGUAUGCACAGAGCCUUAUUCCCUUCCUGGAGUUGGAGCUGAUGCCUUCCGUAGCCUUGGGCUUCUCUCCAUUCGGAAGCUUUGACAGGCGCAACCCCACCCAGAGGCUGGCUGCGGCUGAGGAUUAGGGGGUGUGUUGGGGCUGAAAACUGGGUCCCCUAUUUUUGAUACCUCAGCCGACACAUCCCCCGACCGCCAUCGCUUGCUCGCCCUCUGAGAUCCCCCGCCUCCACCGCCUUGCAGGCUCAUCUCUUACUUUCAUUUCUUCCUUUCUUGCGUUUGAG
Homo sapiens (human) is the source of this 619-nucleotide long non-coding RNA. RefSeq lists it as uncharacterized. The transcript is spliced from 3 exons. Lineage: Eukaryota; Metazoa; Chordata; Mammalia; Primates; Hominidae. The record is from RefSeq and is a predicted model, not a curated record.